This 253-nucleotide ribosomal RNA is filed under the name uncultured bacterium. Its description in RNAcentral is "partial 16S ribosomal RNA". It matches the Rfam family "Bacterial small subunit ribosomal RNA", at positions 524 to 776 of the family's 1533-position model. The record is from RNAcentral.
CACGUAGGGGGCAAGCGUUGUUCGGAAUUACUGGGCGUAAAGGGCAUGUAGGCGGUUUUGUAAGCCUGACGUGAAAGGCUGUGGCUCAACCACAGUACGGCGUUGGGAACUGCGAAACUCGAGUCACGGAGAGGGAGCUGGAAUUCCAGGUGUAGGGGUGAAAUCUGUAGAUAUCUGGAAGAACACCAGUGGCGAAGGCGAGCUCCUGGCCGAUGACUGACGCUGAGGUGCGAAAGUGUGGGGAUCAAACAGG